Molecule: transfer RNA, 73 nt
Filed under: Vicugna pacos (alpaca)
Lineage: Eukaryota; Metazoa; Chordata; Mammalia; Artiodactyla; Camelidae
Description: tRNA-Ala (AGC) (tRNA-Ala-AGC-531-1)
Rfam family: tRNA
About the family: Transfer RNA (tRNA) molecules are approximately 80 nucleotides in length.
Source: RNAcentral
GGAGGGUAUAGCUCAGUGGUAGAGCACGUGUUUAGCAUGCACGAGGUCCUGGGUUCAAUCCCCAGUGCCUCCA